This 305-nucleotide ribosomal RNA is filed under the name uncultured bacterium. Its description in RNAcentral is "bacterial SSU rRNA". It matches the Rfam family "Bacterial small subunit ribosomal RNA", at positions 337 to 634 of the family's 1533-position model. The record is from RNAcentral.
GCCUACGGGGGGCAGCAGUAGGGAAUCUUCCACAAUGGGCGAAAGCCUGAUGGAGCAACGCCGCGUGGGUGAAGAAGGUCUUCGGAUCGUAAAACCCUGUUGUUAGAGAAGAAAGUGCGUGAGAGUAACUGUUCACGUUUCGACGGUAUCUAACCAGAAAGCCACGGCUAACUAUGUGCCAGCAGCCGCGGUAAUACGUAGGUGGCAAGCGUUAUCCGGAUUUAUUGGGCGUAAAGGGAACGCAGGCGGUCUUUUAAGUCUGAUGUGAAAGCCUUCGGCUUAACCGGAGUAGUGCAUUGGAAACU